GGGACACGUGGUAUCCUGUCUGAAUAUGGGGGGACCAUCCUCCAAGGCUAAAUACUCCUGACUGACCGAUAGUGAACCAGUACCGUGAGGGAAAGGCGAAAAGAACCCCGGCGAGGGGAGUGAAAAAGAACCUGAAACCGUGUACGUACAAGCAGUGGGAGCACGCUUAGGCGUGUGACUGCGUACCUUUUGUAUAAUGGGUCAGCGACUUAUAUUCUGUAGCAAGGUUAACCGAAUAGGGGAGCCGAAGGGAAACCGAGUCUUAACUGGGCGUUAAGUUGCAGGGUAUAGACCCGAAACCCGGUGAUCUAGCCAUGGGCAGGUUGAAGGUUGGGUAACACUAACUGGAGGACCGAACCGACUAAUGUUGAAAAAUUAGCGGAUGACUUGUGGCUGGGGGUGAAAGGCCAAUCAAACCGGGAGAUAGCUGGUUCUCCCCGAAAGCUAUUUAGGUAGCGCCUCGUGAAUUCAUCUCCGGGGGUAGAGCACUGUUUCGGCAAGGGGGUCAUCCCGACUUACCAACCCGAUGCAAACUGCGAAUACCGGAGAAUGUUAUCACGGGAGACACACGGCGGGUGCUAACGUCCGUCGUGAAGAGGGAAACAACCCAGACCGCCAGCUAAGGUCCCAAAGUCAUGGUUAAGUGGGAAACGAUGUGGGAAGGCCCAGACAGCCAGGAUGUUGGCUUAGAAGCAGCCAUCAUUUAAAGAAAGCGUAAUAGCUCACUGGUCGAGUCGGCCUGCGCGGAAGAUGUAACGGGGCUAAACCAUGCACCGAAGCUGCGGCAGCGACACUAUGUGUUGUUGGGUAGGGGAGCGUUCUGUAAGCCUGUGAAGGUGUACUGUGAGGUAUGCUGGAGGUAUCAGAAGUGCGAAUGCUGACAUAAGUAACGAUAAAGCGGGUGAAAAGCCCGCUCGCCGGAAGACCAAGGGUUCCUGUCCAACGUUAAUCGGGGCAGGGUGAGUCGACCCCUAAGGCGAGGCCGAAAGGCGUAGUCGAUGGGAAACAGGUUAAUAUUCCUGUACUUGGUGUUACUGCGAAGGGGGGACGGAGAAGGCUAUGUUGGCCGGGCGACGGUUGUCCCGGUUUAAGCGUGUAGGCUGGUUUUCCAGGCAAAUCCGGAAAAUCAAGGCUGAGGCGUGAUGACGAGGCACUACGGUGCUGAAGCAACAAAUGCCCUGCUUCCAGGAAAAGCCUCUAAGCAUCAGGUAACAUCAAAUCGUACCCCAAACCGACACAGGUGGUCAGGUAGAGAAUACCAAGGCGCUUGAGAGAACUCGGGUGAAGGAACUAGGCAAAAUGGUGCCGUAACUUCGGGAGAAGGCACGCUGAUAUGUAGGUGAAGUCCCUUGCGGAUGGAGCUGAAAUCAGUCGAAGAUACCAGCUGGCUGCAACUGUUUAUUAAAAACACAGCACUGUGCAAACACGAAAGUGGACGUAUACGGUGUGACGCCUGCCCGGUGCCGGAAGGUUAAUUGAUGGGGUCAGCGCAAGCGAAGCUCUUGAUCGAAGCCCCGGUAAACGGCGGCCGUAACUAUAACGGUCCUAAGGUAGCGAAAUUCCUUGUCGGGUAAGUUCCGACCUGCACGAAUGGCGUAAUGAUGGCCAGGCUGUCUCCACCCGAGACUCAGUGAAAUUGAACUCGCUGUGAAGAUGCAGUGUACCCGCGGCAAGACGGAAAGACCCCGUGAACCUUUACUAUAGCUUGACACUGAACAUUGAGCCUUGAUGUGUAGGAUAGGUGGGAGGCUUUGAAGUGUGGACGCCAGUCUGCAUGGAGCCGACCUUGAAAUACCACCCUU
Molecule: ribosomal RNA, 1802 nt
Filed under: Escherichia coli
Lineage: Bacteria; Pseudomonadati; Pseudomonadota; Gammaproteobacteria; Enterobacterales; Enterobacteriaceae
Description: partial 23S ribosomal RNA
Rfam family: Bacterial large subunit ribosomal RNA
Source: RNAcentral